Erpetoichthys calabaricus (reedfish) is the source of this 668-nucleotide long non-coding RNA. RefSeq lists it as uncharacterized. Lineage: Eukaryota; Metazoa; Chordata; Cladistia; Polypteriformes; Polypteridae. The transcript has 4 exons. The record is from RefSeq and is a predicted model, not a curated record.
UGCUGCGAGGGCGGCGCCGCGCGGCGCGCAUCCGCGAGUGAGUAAACCGCGCAUAGACAGCAGUGCGCGCCAAGCCCCUUUUGAAUGAAGAUGGCGGGAAGUACUGAGGAGGCCGAGUUUCUCCGACAGAGGCUCACUUAUUUGGAAAACAUCGGUGAGGAUCUGAGAGAAGCAAUUAGCCUGAUGUCCAAGCUAAACAGCAAUCUCCAAGUGUGGGCAGAGCGAAAUGGUGAAGAGGAGGCACUGAAUCAAGUGUGGGGAAUGUUCAUAAAUCGAGUGACCUCCAUAUCCGGAAUUUUGUCCUCAGUACAGAAGUAUGAAGCUGAAGAAGCAUAAGAAUCUGAUUCAAAGACGGGAACCCCUGCUUUUAGCCAGAUUGACUUGACAUCCACAGCACAACUGUGUACUUUCAUGAAAUGUUAAUGGUUUCAUUUUGUGUUAGUGUACAGGUUGUCUGCAGGUGACCAGUGAUGACUACAGUGUGUGUUAGCAUCCAUCAUGGAGCAAUGAAGUCCUUAUUGUUUUGGCUCUGCCUGCCAUCAAUGCAUCUGAAGCAGUGAAGUCUGCUGCAGGUUUUGUUUAGGGACACAGUUGUUUCUUAUUUCAGCAAUACCUUUUAGAGGCCAGCAUUUACAUCUUAAGUUGUAGUAUACAUGAGCUUUUCUCUG